RNAcentral lists this ribosomal RNA (546 nucleotides) under uncultured Glomeromycotina. Its description in RNAcentral is "SSU rRNA". It matches the Rfam family "Eukaryotic small subunit ribosomal RNA", at positions 548 to 1098 of the family's 1831-position model. Lineage: Eukaryota; Fungi; Glomeromycota. The record is from RNAcentral.
UUGGAGGGCAAGUCUGGUGCCAGCAGUCGCGGUAAUUCCAGCUCCAAUAGCGUAUAUUAAAGUUGUUGCAGUUAAAAAGCUCGUAGUUGAAUUUCGGGAUUAGUACGCUGGUCGUGCCUUCGGUACGUACUGGUGUUACUGAUCCCUACCUUCUGACGAACCAUCAUGUCAUUAAUUUGGUGUGGUAGGGAAUCAGGACUGUUACUUUGAAAAAAUUAGAGUGUUUAAAGCAGGCUCGCGCUUGAAUACAUUAGCAUGGAAUAAUGAAAUAGGACGUUGAUCCUAUUUUGUUGGUUUCUAGGAUUGACGUAAUGAUUAAUAGGGAUAGUUGGGGGCAUUAGUAUUCAAUUGUCAGAGGUGAAAUUCUUGGAUUUAUUGAAGACUAACUACUGCGAAAGCAUUUGCCAAGGAUGUUUUCAUUAAUCAAGAACGAAAGUUAGGGGAUCGAAGACGAUCAGAUACCGUCGUAGUCUUAACCAUAAACUAUGCCGACUAGGGAUCGGAUGAUAUUAUUUUUAAUGACUCAUUCGGCGCCUUACGGGAAAC